CCCAGACUCCUACGGGAGGCAGCAGUGGGGAAUAUUGCACAAUGGGGGGAACCCUGAUGCAGCGACGCCGCGUGAGUGAAGAAGUAUUUCGGUAUGUAAAGCUCUAUCAGCAGGGAAGAAAAUGACGGUACCUGACUAAGAAGCCCCGGCUAACUACGUGCCAGCAGCCGCGGUAAUACGUAGGGGGCAAGCGUUAUCCGGAUUUACUGGGUGUAAAGGGAGCGCAGACGGCUGUGCAAGUCUGGAGUGAAAGGCGGGGGCCCAACCCCCGGACUGCUCUGGAAACUGUAAAGCUGGAGUGCAGGAGAGGUAAGCGGAAUUCCUAGUGUAGCGGUGAAAUGCGUAGAUAUUAGGAGGAACACCAGUGGCGAAGGCGGCUUACUGGACUGCAACUGACGUUGAGGCUCGAAAGCGUGGGGAGCAAACAGGAUUAGAUACCCGCGUAC
Molecule: ribosomal RNA, 446 nt
Filed under: uncultured bacterium
Lineage: Bacteria
Description: bacterial SSU rRNA
Rfam family: Bacterial small subunit ribosomal RNA
Source: RNAcentral